AUGGCAAAGGCUAUUUUCUGCCACCCAUCGAUAUUGGUGUUGAGUACUCACAAAAUGUGCUGGAACUUCUCAGGGAUCACUAGAGACACGGUGGUGGCUCCAGCGGCACCAUGACUGUUUCUUAUUCACA
Prionailurus viverrinus (fishing cat) is the source of this 130-nucleotide long non-coding RNA. RefSeq lists it as uncharacterized. The record is from RefSeq and is a predicted model, not a curated record. NCBI's taxonomy places the organism in Eukaryota, Metazoa, Chordata, Mammalia, Carnivora, Felidae. The transcript is spliced from 3 exons.